UACGAAGCAUUGAAGAAGAUGUAGUACUAUUUGCCCAAUGAUGAAUAGAGAACUUGUGGUUGGUGAAAACAAGUAUCAAGGUAAAUAGGAAUUGGACUUUGGAGCUUAUUUAAUGAAGUGAUCUUGUGUACAAUGCAAGAUAAUAAGGGUGGCAACGCGGUUCAUUCGUCCCUAGA
This 176-nucleotide non-coding RNA is filed under the name Oceanobacillus iheyensis. Its description in RNAcentral is "T-box sequence". It matches the Rfam family "T-box leader". Rfam says of the family: Uncharged tRNA acts as the effector for transcription antitermination of genes in the T-box leader family. The record is from RNAcentral. Lineage: Bacteria; Bacillati; Bacillota; Bacilli; Caryophanales; Bacillaceae.